RNAcentral lists this ribosomal RNA (468 nucleotides) under uncultured bacterium. RNAcentral's name for it is "partial 16S ribosomal RNA". It matches the Rfam family "Bacterial small subunit ribosomal RNA", at positions 28 to 507 of the family's 1533-position model. The record is from RNAcentral.
GACGAACGCUGGCGGCGUGCUUAACACAUGCAAGUCGAACGGAAAGGCCCUGCUUUUGUGGGGUGCUCGAGUGGCGAACGGGUGAGUAACACGUGAGUAACCUGCCCUUGACUUUGGGAUAACUUCAGGAAACUGGGGCUAAUACCGGAUAGGAGCUCCUGCUGCAUGGUGGGGGUUGGAAAGUUUCGGCGGUUGGGGAUGGACUCGCGGCUUAUCAGCUUGUUGGUGGGGUAGUGGCUUACCAAGGCUUUGACGGGUAGCCGGCCUGAGAGGGUGACCGGCCACAUUGGGACUGAGAUACGGCGCAGACGCCUACGGGAGGCAGCAGUGGGGAAUAUUGCACAAUGGGCGGAAGCCUGAUGCAGCAACGCCGCGUGCGGGAUGACGGCCUUCGGGUUGUAAACCGCUUUCGCCUGUGACGAAGCGUGAGUGACGGUAAUGGGUAAAGAAGCACCGGCUAACUACGUG